Molecule: transfer RNA, 74 nt
Filed under: Crataraea suturalis
Lineage: Eukaryota; Metazoa; Arthropoda; Insecta; Coleoptera; Staphylinidae
Description: tRNA-Trp
Source: RNAcentral
AAGGAUUUAAGUUAAAUAUUAAACUCGUAGCCUUCAAAGCUUCUAAUAAAGAUUUAUUUAUUCUUUAAGCCUUA